This is an RNA transcript of Myzus persicae (green peach aphid), 1150 nucleotides long. RefSeq lists it as uncharacterized. NCBI's taxonomy places the organism in Eukaryota, Metazoa, Arthropoda, Insecta, Hemiptera, Aphididae. The transcript has 3 exons. The record is from RefSeq and is a predicted model, not a curated record.
ACUUGCGACCCGAAUCCACGACGAUUUCGACAGCCCGCCAUGAUGAUUGUCAAUAUUGGCAUUGGUAUUAUUGACGAGACCAUAUUGCGUCGAUGCACGUGCCGUAAGCCCACCUCUCGCGGGUAUAAAACGAGCGCGUGCAUACGCUCCGGGACAUUAUCCGUAUCCGGUGGCUCAAGGUCGUCGGGCGCACCACCUGUAUUACUGUUUGUGCACAUAUCGAAAACUUAUGUGCCCGUAACCGUGGUCGACGGAAGUGACAUAAUGGACCGACACGUCAGCCCCACCAAUAUGCGGAAGUGGACGCUGGUCGCCGUGGCCCUGAUAUUACUGAUGUACGUCCAAACAUCAAUGUCGGCACCAUGCGGGUGCGGGUGCGGGUGCGGCUGUUGUAGUUGUGGAUGUGGAUGUGGCUGUGGUUGCUGUGGUGGUGGCGGCUGUUGCUGAAAAAUAAAACCAUUUUGAUCAAGAGCCUGGUUGAGCUCGACAUAACGAACCCGAACUAUGAUAAUAGAUUUGAUAAGAUUUUACUUGAUCGAUUAUUUUUAUUUUUAGCUACGAUUAUGUUAAAUAUUUGAAUAUCAGAUUUUUAUAUUUUUUUGUUUGAUUUAAUUAUUAAAAGUUAUGAAUAUGAAUUUUCAAACGUUAGAACAGUAAAUAAAACAAAUAAAAAAUUUGAAGUUUCUUUUCACACAAUAUUAGCACAUUACUUUCUGCGGACAUGGUCGUGAUUACUUAGUUCCUGACCAUUAUAUCAAUAUACUUAUCACUAGUUUAUGUAGUCGUUCUGAACGAUCGGAAUUAGUCAACGUUGUGUAUGGUCCUUAUGAUGUGCUUAUGACAUGCCUAGUGAAUGCGAUUUUAUUCGUGUAUGUUCAAAUGGCUUCUUCGGCGCCAUGCUGUGGUGGCUGUGGUGGCUGCGGUGGCUGUACAUCAAGUUUUGGUUAUAGUUUCUUCAGUAGUUUUCCAAAAAUUACACUUUCCUUCAAAUUUUUAGGUUAGUUAUAAGGUAAACGCUUUAAAUUUUUAAUGGUUGGUUAUAUUAUAUAACAUAUAAUUUCUCAAAAUGUUUCAAGUAAUCAAAUAUCUAACGUAUUUAUUAAUACAAUUAGGCUUAUAAUAAAUCAUGUUUGUAUUUUUCUGAAAUUUU